GAUUCUGGCUCAGGAUGAACGCUGGCGGCGUGCCUAAUACAUGCAAGUCGAACGAGGUAGCAAUACCGAGUGGCGAACGGGUGAGUAACACGUAGGUAACCUGCCCUUAAGCUUGGGAUACCCAGAGGAAACUUUGGCUAAUACCGGAUAACAACAGAGAAGGCAUCUUCUUUGCUUGAAAGGCCCCUUCAAGGGUCACUUAAGGAUGGACCUGCGGCGCAUUAGCUAGUUGGUGAGAUAACAGCCCACCAAGGCGAGGAUGCGUAGCCGAACUGAGAGGUUGAUCGGCCACAUUGGAACUGAGACACGGUACCAAACUCCGUACGGGAGGCAGCAGUAAGGUAGUUUCGGCAAUGGGGGAAACCCUGACCGAGCAACGCCGCGUGAGCGAUGACGGUCCUUUGGAUUUGUAAAGCUCUGUUGUAAGCCAUGAAUGACAGCUUGAGGAAAUGCAAGUUGUUUGACGACAGCUUACCAGAAAGCCACGGCUAACUACGUGCCAGCAGCGGC
This 510-nucleotide ribosomal RNA is filed under the name uncultured bacterium. Its description in RNAcentral is "bacterial SSU rRNA". It matches the Rfam family "Bacterial small subunit ribosomal RNA", at positions 15 to 518 of the family's 1533-position model. The record is from RNAcentral.